UAGGAAUUAGUACAAAUGGAAGUACGUAAAAUUUUGGGUUUUGUAGUGCAGGUUCAAGUCCUGUUUUCUAG
RNAcentral lists this transfer RNA (71 nucleotides) under Varanus caudolineatus. RNAcentral describes it as "tRNA-Gln". It matches the Rfam family "tRNA". Rfam says of the family: Transfer RNA (tRNA) molecules are approximately 80 nucleotides in length. Lineage: Eukaryota; Metazoa; Chordata; Lepidosauria; Squamata; Varanidae. The record is from RNAcentral.